Molecule: small RNA, 335 nt
Filed under: uncultured bacterium
Lineage: Bacteria
Description: bacterial SSU rRNA
Rfam family: Bacterial small subunit ribosomal RNA
Source: RNAcentral
GCCUAACACAUGCAAGUCGAACGGUAACAGGAAGCAGCUUGCUGCUUCGCUGACGAGUGGCGGACGGGUGAGUAAUGUCUGGGAAGCUGCCUGAUGGAGGGGGAUAACUACUGGAAACGGUAGCUAAUACCGCAUAAUGUCGCAAGACCAAAGAGGGGGACCUUCGGGCCUCUUGCCAUCGGAUGUGCCCAGAUGGGAUUAGCUUGUUGGUGGGGUAACGGCUCACCAAGGCGAGGAUCCCUAGCUGGUCUGAGAGGCUUACCAGCCACACUGGAACUGAGACACGGUCCAGAGUCCUACGGGAGGCAGCAGUGGGAUCUUGCAGAAAACUCGAG